CCCUUAGAUGUCCUGGGCCGCACGCGUGCUACACUGAUGCAUACAGCGAGCACUUCCCGGCCCCGAAAGGCGGCUGGUAAUCAGCAAUAUGCAUCGUGAUGGGGAUAGUUCUUUGGAAUUCUUGAACUUGAACGAGGAAUGCCUAGUAGGCGCACGUCAUUACCGUGCGUCGAUUAAGUCCCUGCCCUUUGUACACACCGCCCGUCGCUCCUACCGAUUCGAGUGAUCCGGUGAACCCUUUGGACCGAGGCAGCUCGCUGUUUUGGAAAAUCGAGUAAACCACGUCACUUAGAGGAAGGAGAANUCGUAACA
Molecule: ribosomal RNA, 312 nt
Filed under: uncultured eukaryote
Lineage: Eukaryota
Description: partial 18S ribosomal RNA
Rfam family: Eukaryotic small subunit ribosomal RNA
Source: RNAcentral